GUAACAAAAUGGCGUUUGAAAGUCAGUCUGAAACUUCUAAUACACAUUUUUCCUCAAACAUAGACAUAGAUAAUCCACCAUUCUCUCGUGUCUUUAUUGUUUGUGGACGUAACUUAACCUUAGAAGAAGUGACAAAUGCAUUUUCUGCUUAUGGCACAGUUGAAGAUGUACGUAUGGUUAAAGAUAAAGUAACGAAGGAAAGCAAGGGUAUUUGCUUCGUAAAGUUUGCCAAGGCAUCGUCUGCUGCUAUGGCUAUUGAAUAUUUGGAUGGAAAGGUAAUUGGAAGUGAACCCAAGCCCAUAAAGGCGAUGAUUGCUCAGUCCAAAACACCAGGAAAACAACCCGACUUACAAGACUCGGAUCUCAGCCGUAUCUUCGUUGUCAUUCCAAAAACGUUCAGCGAAGAUGACUUACGUGCGAAGUUCGCAGAUUACGAUAGCGAUAUUGAUUAUUGCCAAGUGGUAAGAGAUCAUGAGACGAGGGACUCGAAAGGAGUCGGUUAUGUGAAAUUCACAAAACCCUCAACGGCUGCAUUAGCAAUUGAAACUUGUGACCGCUCCUUGAAAGCUGUGAUUGCGGAACCCAAAUCGUCCAAGUUUAAACAACAUAAAUUGGAGCAAGAGAAGAAUGUCAUGUCUGCAUUCGCCGCCGCUAUGCAGGCAAUGCCGGUGAAUCCUUUCCUGGAGCAACAAAAUUUCAACUUUCCUGGCAUUCAUGAUCAAAGUAACCCAGCAAAUACAAUGUUAGCUGCUCAAGCUGCUGUGACUGAGGGAAUUGCAAACCAACUCGCCUCCUCCUUCAGAAAUAAACGUCUCUUUGUCAUCGUUUCUCCGUCGGUAACCCAAGAUCAGCUUUCUUCACUGUUUGAUCUCAUUCCCGGAAUGGAAUACUGCGACCUGAAACGCGACCACAACACACGCGAAUCGCGUGGUAUUGCGUACGUCAUGUACAAGUCGAUGGGUUCCGCAGUCUACGCGAAGGAGAAGCUCAACGGUUUCGAAUAUCCUCCAGGAUCGAGACUCGUCGUUAAAUUUGCCGAAGAAAAUACACACGCACAGAAUGGCAACAAAAAUAAUAUGACUGGUACGCAUGUUACCAGCAUGCCAAAUGAGCUUUCUUACCCUGCGUUUAAUACCACUACCCCUGGAUAUAUCUCCACUGCUAUGGGUAAUCCCAUGGUGUUCAAUCCUAACCCCUCUUCUACAGCAUCCUAUCAAGCCUCUUCAAAUACCACUACUGGGUCAAGCACACCGUACACCACGGCAGUUUUACCGAACCCGCAACGUUUUGCAGAUCCGAAUGCGGACGUUGCUGCUCGGCUGUUCAUCGUCUGCCAACCCCGCGCCCCGCCAGAGCAGGUACUUAAGGAUGUUUUCAGUCGUUUUGGAGAUCUUAUUGAUGUCUGGAUGGUUGGUGAUCGUAAUUUUGGUUAUGCGAAGUUUUCCACAAAAGUCGCUGCAGAUGCUGCCAUCACCGGCUUGAAUGGACAGGAGAUCCUGGGGAUGAAAGUUAAGGUUCUCCAUGCAGAUCCACCGAAGAACGAAAGCUCCAGGAAACGCCCAAGAGUGUGAAGUGCUUUUAUUAGGAAUACUACUGUGCAUGGGCAGUACGAGUUAAAAGAGCUACAUCCUUGCAUCGCACGAUGUGGUAAUAACAUCACUGACGUAUUUAACGGAGGUAUGGUUACUUUUAACGACGUCCACGGUCACAUCUACAUUGACUUUAACAAUCAGCACAAAGCAAUUCCAAGACUACUACUACCGGUUCUCAGAGCAUUGUUUAUGCUCAUGUCCCAAAAGUAACUGGCAUUGGCAGUCCUUUGUCUUUGUAUAUAAGACUGACCGUUUAGGAAUGAGAUGGAUGGCUGUUUGCUACAGGUGGAGCAGCGGCAGUAUUGCCACAGCUACGACAGGCACAGGCUGCUGGUACGGUGAUACGAUGACGCUUAGUGGUGUCGUUUGGACA
RNAcentral lists this unclassified non-coding RNA (1965 nucleotides) under Dendronephthya gigantea. RNAcentral's name for it is "rNA-binding protein 45-like, transcript variant X3". Lineage: Eukaryota; Metazoa; Cnidaria; Anthozoa; Malacalcyonacea; Nephtheidae. The record is from RNAcentral.